UACGGAGGGUGCAAGCGUUAAUCGGAAUUACUGGGCGUAAAGCGCACGCAGGUGGCUGAGUCAGUCGAUUGUGAAAGCCCUGGGCUUAACCUGGGAAUUGCAGUCGAUACUACUCAGCUAGAGUAUGGGAGAGGGUAGUGGAAUUCCCGGUGUAGCGGUGAAAUGCGUAGAUAUCAGGAAGAACAUCGGUGGCGAAGGCGCUCUGCUGGACCAUAACUGACACUCAGGGACGAAAGCUAGGGGAGCGAAUGGG
RNAcentral lists this ribosomal RNA (253 nucleotides) under uncultured bacterium. RNAcentral's name for it is "partial 16S ribosomal RNA". It matches the Rfam family "Bacterial small subunit ribosomal RNA", at positions 524 to 776 of the family's 1533-position model. The record is from RNAcentral.